CCCCUCGAAUUCCGUCGAGGGACGCGCUAUAUGGGGUCCGUCACCUCGGUGACUAUGGCGAUAAACACGGCUCGGGAUAAGCGUUGCGGACCCGGGGGCAGUGCCCGGCGCCUCCACCAUCCCCUUCGGGGGGCCAAGGGGGCGAAACAGGCUCGACGCGCGUGGUAAUGGGGUCGCUUUUGCCCGGCAUGGUUCCGCCGUCAUCGGGCCGAUUCUAAGUGCGAACGAUAACAGCCGCGAGGCUGUCGCACUCGCUGCCUAGGAAUAGGUAAGCGCGGUUCGGGGGGCACCGGGCAACAGAAGCCCCCCACU
This 312-nucleotide transfer-messenger RNA is filed under the name Siccirubricoccus deserti. RNAcentral's name for it is "Alphaproteobacteria transfer-messenger RNA". It matches the Rfam family "Alphaproteobacteria transfer-messenger RNA". Rfam says of the family: Bacterial tmRNA, also known as 10Sa RNA or SsrA, is named for its dual tRNA and mRNA-like properties. Its role is to liberate the mRNA from a stalled ribosome. To accomplish this part of the tmRNA is used as a reading frame that ends in a translation stop signal. Lineage: Bacteria; Pseudomonadati; Pseudomonadota; Alphaproteobacteria; Acetobacterales; Roseomonadaceae. The record is from Rfam by way of RNAcentral.